Long non-coding RNA from Teleopsis dalmanni, 653 nucleotides. RefSeq lists it as uncharacterized. NCBI's taxonomy places the organism in Eukaryota, Metazoa, Arthropoda, Insecta, Diptera, Diopsidae. The record is from RefSeq and is a predicted model, not a curated record. The transcript is spliced from 2 exons.
UAAAAACAAGUGCCUUCCAUUACCGGCGUUAUGCCAAUAAUUGUAAAAAGUUAUUGUAAUCAUAAAAAAAAAACAAGUGAAAUCUUCCCACAAUCCGGAGUGAAUCUGCAGUUAAGACAUUAAAACGGGUACCAAAGUAAUUUGAGUAAACAAUAUUUCUGGAAGCAAAGUGUGACAAGUGCGAAAUAUGAGAUUCAAAUAAAAACAUUAAACCCAUAUCUGUACUCCCUUCGCUUCAAAUUUGAGGCAAAUAAGAGAGACGGGUUUCACUGGUUUCACUGGUUGCACAGUUGCAUAAGUGGCGGGAUGUUAUUUCGGGCAAUUAUGACAGUGGUAGUGUCAAGUGCUACAAAUGCUCACAGUGGACAAAUCAAAACUAGGUAUUAAAAAAAUUGCAGCAAAAUACAAUGAACACAAAAAGCUAAAUCAACAACCGUAAUCACAGGGGUUGCAACUGUUGUAGGAAGACAUCAUUGGCGGCGUCAAUAACUGGCAACAUCCAGUUGUAGCAGACUAAUCAAAGCGCGUUGCUAGGUCACGUGGCAGCCGAGAAAGGAAGUAGUACGCAUUCAAAAAUGUUUCGCAUACGAGUAAGCCAAUUAAGUAGAUACAUCAGUGCAAUCUGAAGUAACUUCUAAAAAACAAAAAAAAAA